This 253-nucleotide ribosomal RNA is filed under the name uncultured bacterium. RNAcentral's name for it is "partial 16S ribosomal RNA". It matches the Rfam family "Bacterial small subunit ribosomal RNA", at positions 524 to 776 of the family's 1533-position model. The record is from RNAcentral.
UACAGAGGUCCCAAGCGUUGUUCGGAUUCAUUGGGCGUAAAGGGUGUGUAGGUGGCGCCGUAAGUCGGGUGUGAAAUUUCGGAGCUUAACUCCGAAACUGCAUUCAAUACUGCGGUGCUUGAGGACUGGAGAGGAGACUGGAAUUCAUGGUGUAGCAGUGAAAUGCGUAGAGAUCAUGAGGAAGACCAGUGGCGAAGGCGGGUCUCUGGACAGUUCCUGACACUGAGACACGAAGGCCAGGGGAGCAAACGGG